AACGAACGCUGGCGGCAUGCCUAACACAUGCAAGUCGAACGCUUAUCCGGGCUUUGGUUCGGAUGGGAGUGGCGCACGGGUGAGUAGCGCGUGGGAACCUGCCCUGUUGUGGGGGAUAACCGAGGGAAACUUCGGCUAAUACCGCAUGCGCCCGGAGGAGACUCCGGGGAAAGUAUUUAUCGCUGAAGGAUCCGGCCCGCGUCGGAUUAGCUAGUUGGGUAGGGGUAAAGGCCUACCAAGGCGACGAUCCGUAGCUGGUCUGAGAGGAUGAUCAGCCACACUGGGACUGAGACACGGCCCAGACUCCUACGGGAGGCAGCAGGUGGGGAAUAUUGGACAAUGGGCGCAAGCCUGAUCCAGCCAUGCCGCGUGAGUGAAGAAGGCCUUAGGGUUGUAAAGCUCUUUCAGCGGGGACGAUAAUGACGGUACCCGCAGAAGAACGCCCCCGGCUAACUUCGUGCCAGCAGCCG
This 470-nucleotide ribosomal RNA is filed under the name uncultured bacterium. RNAcentral's name for it is "bacterial SSU rRNA". It matches the Rfam family "Bacterial small subunit ribosomal RNA", at positions 28 to 517 of the family's 1533-position model. The record is from RNAcentral.